This 250-nucleotide ribosomal RNA is filed under the name uncultured bacterium. RNAcentral describes it as "partial 16S ribosomal RNA". It matches the Rfam family "Bacterial small subunit ribosomal RNA", at positions 524 to 773 of the family's 1533-position model. RNAcentral also lists the same sequence under 1 other name. The record is from RNAcentral.
UACGUAGGUGACAAGCGUUGUCCGGAUUUAUUGGGCGUAAAGCGAGCGCAGGCGGUCUUUUAAGUCUGAUGUGAAAGCCCACGGCUCAACCGUGGAGGGUCAUUGGAAACUGGAAGACUUGAAUGCAGAAGAGGAAAGUGGAAUUCCAUGUGUAGCGGUGAAAUGCGUAGAUAUAUGGAGGAACACCAGUGGCGAAGGCGACUUUCUGGUCUGUAAUUGACGCUGAGGCUCGAAAGCGUGGGGAGCGAAC